AGAACGCGUGGAGCAUGUGGCUUAAUUUGACUCAACGCGGGAAAUCUUACCGGGUCCGGACACACUGAGGAUUGACAGGCAAUAUUAAUAUAUACUUUUUUGCAUUCCUUCGGGUAUGUUAAAUGUCAUAUAUUAUGUUAAAUAUGCUAGUCCUUUCAUGAUUAUGUGAUAGGUGGUGCAUGGCCGUUCUUANUUCGUGGAGUGAUCUGUCUGCUUAAUUGCGUUUCACUAAGGGCCUAUACAAUUACNUAUGUUGUUAUUACACUUUGACCCCUCCUUCACGGGUGCGUGUGUCUUUGACUGUUUCAACUCAUACAAUUANGUCCUGAAAGCAACGAACGUGACCGCAACCUCUUGUUGCUUUCGUAUACCCUUAUAACACAGUUUUUAUGCUCUUACGUAUUAAUUUCUGUGCAAGAAAGCUUUUUAAACUANAGGGACCGCUGUUAUCUUCUUAAACCAGAGGAAGGUUGCGGCAAUAACAGGUCUGUGAUGCCCUUAGAUGUUCCGGGCUGCACACGUGCUACAAUGAUUAUUGCAGUGAGCAUCUCAUUUUUAUAUACACCGCAUGCGCGAGUCCAUUUAUUCNNUUUCUCUACCUUCACGGGUAUCGCUGUUUUAAAUGUGUAUCUCUCCGCGCGGUAAAGCCUGCUUCGAGAGUAAGUGGGUAAUCAAUUAGAAGUAAUGAUUCCUUUUUUUCUGCACACAUAUAUACGGCAGUUAUACCCGGGUAACCUUGUUGUUACUUUUCUGUGUGUAUAGCUGUACCCUUUUUCCGUAUGUGCGAUUGUCAAUUCAUGGUGGGGACAGACCAUUGUUAAUUGUUGGUCUCGGUCUUAACUAGGAAUGCCUUGUACGGGUCUUUGGUUCAACAAACCACCCGGAACACGUCCCUGCCCUUUGUACACACCGCCCGUCGCUCUUACCGAUGGACUUCUCUGUGAGUUUGAGGGACUGGGAACGCAAUUGGAUUUUAUCCACAUUGCACACCUAUGGAAACUUAAACGAACAGUGUGGUCUAAAGGAAAGAGAAGUCGUAACAAGGCAUCAGUAGGUGAACCUGCAGAAGGAUCA
This 1074-nucleotide ribosomal RNA is filed under the name Trifarina earlandi. RNAcentral's name for it is "SSU rRNA". It matches the Rfam family "Eukaryotic small subunit ribosomal RNA", at positions 1169 to 1828 of the family's 1831-position model. Lineage: Eukaryota; Foraminifera; Rotaliida; Uvigerinidae. The record is from RNAcentral.